Molecule: non-coding RNA, 125 nt
Organism: Triticum urartu
Lineage: Eukaryota; Viridiplantae; Streptophyta; Magnoliopsida; Poales; Poaceae
Source: Rfam
GAUGUACUCCCUCCGUCCGAAAAUACUUGUCAUUGAAAUGGAUGUAUCUAGAUGUAUUUUAGUUGUAAGUACAUCAAUUUCCAUCCAUUUUGAUGACAAGUAUUUCCGGACGGAGGGAGUACUUA